Molecule: ribosomal RNA, 2262 nt
Filed under: Salmonella enterica
Lineage: Bacteria; Pseudomonadati; Pseudomonadota; Gammaproteobacteria; Enterobacterales; Enterobacteriaceae
Description: partial 23S ribosomal RNA
Rfam family: Bacterial large subunit ribosomal RNA
Source: RNAcentral
UGGGCGUUAAGUUGCAGGGUAUAGACCCGAAACCCGGUGAUCUAGCCAUGGGCAGGUUGAAGGUUGGGUAACACUAACUGGAGGACCGAACCGACUAAUGUUGAAAAAUUAGCGGAUGACCUGUGGCUGGGGGUGAAAGGCCAAUCAAACCGGGAGAUAGCUGGUUCUCCCCGAAAGCUAUUUAGGUAGCGCCUCGUGAAUUCAUCUCCGGGGGUAGAGCACUGUUUCGGCUAGGGGGCCAUCCCGGCUUACCAACCCGAUGCAAACUGCGAAUACCGGAGAAUGUUAUCACGGGAGACACACGGCGGGUGCUAACGUCCGUCGUGAAGAGGGAAACAACCCAGACCGCCAGCUAAGGUCCCAAAGUCAUGGUUAAGUGGGAAACGAUGUGGGAAGGCCCAGACAGCCAGGAUGUUGGCUUAGAAGCAGCCAUCAUUUAAAGAAAGCGUAAUAGCUCACUGGUCGAGUCGGCCUGCGCGGAAGAUGUAACGGGGCUAAACCAUGCACCGAAGCUGCGGCAGCGACACUCAGGUGUUGUUGGGUAGGGGAGCGUUCUGUAAGCCUGCGAAGGUGGCCUGUGAGGGUUGCUGGAGGUAUCAGAAGUGCGAAUGCUGACAUAAGUAACGAUAAAGCGGGUGAAAAGCCCGCUCGCCGGAAGACCAAGGGUUCCUGUCCAACGUUAAUCGGGGCAGGGUGAGUCGACCCCUAAGGCGAGGCCGAAAGGCGUAGUCGAUGGGAAACGGGUUAAUAUUCCCGUACUUGGUGUUACUGCGAAGGGGGGACGGAGAAGGCUAUGUUGGCCGGGCGACGGUUGUCCCGGUUUAAGCGUGUAGGUGUGUGUUCCAGGUAAAUCCGGUUCACUUUAACACUGAGGCGUGACGACGAGGCACUACGGUGCUGAAGCAACAAAUGCCCUGCUUCCAGGAAAAGCCUCUAAGCAUCAGGUAACAUCAAAUCGUACCCCAAACCGACACAGGUGGUCAGGUAGAGAAUACCAAGGCGCUUGAGAGAACUCGGGUGAAGGAACUAGGCAAAAUGGUGCCGUAACUUCGGGAGAAGGCACGCUGACACGUAGGUGAAGUGAUUUACUCACGGAGCUGAAGUCAGUCGAAGAUACCAGCUGGCUGCAACUGUUUAUUAAAAACACAGCACUGUGCAAACACGAAAGUGGACGUAUACGGUGUGACGCCUGCCCGGUGCCGGAAGGUUAAUUGAUGGGGUCAGCGCAAGCGAAGCUCCUGAUCGAAGCCCCGGUAAACGGCGGCCGUAACUAUAACGGUCCUAAGGUAGCGAAAUUCCUUGUCGGGUAAGUUCCGACCUGCACGAAUGGCGUAAUGAUGGCCAGGCUGUCUCCACCCGAGACUCAGUGAAAUUGAACUCGCUGUGAAGAUGCAGUGUACCCGCGGCAAGACGGAAAGACCCCGUGAACCUUUACUAUAGCUUGACACUGAACAUUGAGCCUUGAUGUGUAGGAUAGGUGGGAGGCUUUGAAGUGUGGACGCCAGUCUGCAUGGAGCCGACCUUGAAAUACCACCCUUUAAUGUUUGAUGUUCUAACGUGGACCCGUGAUCCGGGUUGCGGACAGUGUCUGGUGGGUAGUUUGACUGGGGCGGUCUCCUCCUAAAGAGUAACGGAGGAGCACGAAGGUUGGCUAAUCCUGGUCGGACAUCAGGAGGUUAGUGCAAUGGCAUAAGCCAGCUUGACUGCGAGCGUGACGGCGCGAGCAGGUGCGAAAGCAGGUCAUAGUGAUCCGGUGGUUCUGAAUGGAAGGGCCAUCGCUCAACGGAUAAAAGGUACUCCGGGGAUAACAGGCUGAUACCGCCCAAGAGUUCAUAUCGACGGCGGUGUUUGGCACCUCGAUGUCGGCUCAUCACAUCCUGGGGCUGAAGUAGGUCCCAAGGGUAUGGCUGUUCGCCAUUUAAAGUGGUACGCGAGCUGGGUUUAGAACGUCGUGAGACAGUUCGGUCCCUAUCUGCCGUGGGCGCUGGAGAACUGAGGGGGGCUGCUCCUAGUACGAGAGGACCGGAGUGGACGCAUCACUGGUGUUCGGGUUGUCAUGCCAAUGGCACUGCCCGGUAGCUAAAUGCGGAAGAGAUAAGUGCUGAAAGCAUCUAAGCACGAAACUUGCCCCGAGAUGAGUUCUCCCUGAGACUUAGAGUCUCCUGAAGGAACGUUGAAGACGACGACGUUGAUAGGCCGGGUGUGUAAGCGCAGCGAUGCGUUGAGCUAACCGGUACUAAUGAACCGUGAGGCUUAACCUUA